This 344-nucleotide long non-coding RNA is filed under the name Homo sapiens (human). RNAcentral's name for it is "novel transcript, antisense to B3GNT8". The record is from RNAcentral. Lineage: Eukaryota; Metazoa; Chordata; Mammalia; Primates; Hominidae.
UCAGAGUGGGGAGUGCAUGUUUUUCAAAAACAAAAAGUAGGCAAAAACAGUCCACCACCCCAUCUUUCCUGCCCAGGCCCCUGGCUGGGGGAGGCCAAGGAGUGGCUUAAGUUGUCCAGCUUCUGGGCCCUCCUCCCUCCCAUCAAGACCUGGAAGGAGGGGCUGAGCCAGGGGCCGGCCCCAGAGGCCCAGCCAGGCCAGCAGCAGCAGGUCUUUGAGCGUCUGGUUGAAUGGGACGUCGAGGAAGUCCCAGAGCAGCAGGUCACUGUAGCGACGGCUCUCCCAGGCCACUAGUGAGUCUAGGUCAGGCCCCGCCUCACCCACCGGAGACCCUAGCAGGAAGA